RNAcentral lists this ribosomal RNA (225 nucleotides) under uncultured bacterium. RNAcentral describes it as "partial 16S ribosomal RNA". It matches the Rfam family "Bacterial small subunit ribosomal RNA", at positions 262 to 504 of the family's 1533-position model. The record is from RNAcentral.
GGCUCACCAAGGCAACGAUGCAUAGCCGACCUGAGAGGGUGAACGGCCACAUUGGGACUGAGACACGGCCCAAACUCCUACGGGAGGCAGCAGUGGGGAAUAUUGCACAAUGGGGGAAACCCUGAUGCAGCGACGCCGCGUGAAGGAAGAAGUAUCUCGGUAUGUAAACUUCUAUCAGCAGGGAAGAAAGUGACGGUACCUGACUAAGAAGCCCCGGCUAAUUAC